This 253-nucleotide ribosomal RNA is filed under the name uncultured bacterium. RNAcentral's name for it is "partial 16S ribosomal RNA". It matches the Rfam family "Bacterial small subunit ribosomal RNA", at positions 524 to 776 of the family's 1533-position model. The record is from RNAcentral.
UACGGAGGGGGCGAGCGUUAUUCGGAAUUAUUGGGCGUAAAGGGCGCGUAGGCGGCCCUGCAAGUCAAAGGUGAAAUCCCUCGGCUCAACUGAGGAACUGCCUUUGAAACUGCAGGGCUUGAGUCCGGGAGGGGGUAGCGGAAUUCCCAGUGUAGCGGUGAAAUGCGUAGAUAUUGGGAGGAACACCAGUGGCGAAGGCGGCUCACUGGCCCGGUACUGACGCUGAGGUGCGAAAGCGUGGGGAGCAAACAGG